UACGUAGGGGGCAAGCGUUGUCCGGAUUUAUUGGGCGUAAAGAGCGUGUAGGCGGCCGCACAGGUCCGUUGUGAAAACUGGAGGCUUAACCUUCAGACGUCGAUGGAAACCGUGCGGCUAGAGUCCGGAAGAGGAGAAUGGAAUUCCUGGUGUAGCGGUGAAAUGCAUAGAUACCAUCCAGAACACCGAUUGCGUAGGCAGCUUACUAGGCUGUAACUGACGCUGAGGCACGAAAGCGUGGGGAGCGAACAGG
RNAcentral lists this ribosomal RNA (253 nucleotides) under uncultured bacterium. Its description in RNAcentral is "partial 16S ribosomal RNA". It matches the Rfam family "Bacterial small subunit ribosomal RNA", at positions 524 to 776 of the family's 1533-position model. The record is from RNAcentral.